This 33-nucleotide ribosomal RNA is filed under the name Hetaerina capitalis. RNAcentral's name for it is "partial 28S ribosomal RNA". The record is from RNAcentral. Lineage: Eukaryota; Metazoa; Arthropoda; Insecta; Odonata; Calopterygidae.
UAUCUUUUGGGCCGACCUCAGAGCAGGUGAGCC